UACAGAGGUGGCAAGCGUUGUUCGGAUUCAUUGGGCGUAAAGGGUCCGUAGGCGGUCCGGAAAGCCGGGUGUGAAAUCCCACAGCUUAACUGUGGAACUGCAUUCGAAACUCUCGGACUAGAGUAUGAGAGGGGUAAAGGGAAUUCCCGGUGUAAGGGUGAAAUCUGCAGAGAUCGGGAGGAACACCAGUCGCGAAGGCGCUUUACUGGCUCAUUACUGACGCUCAGGGACGAAAGCAAGGGGAGCAAACGGG
RNAcentral lists this unclassified non-coding RNA (253 nucleotides) under uncultured bacterium. RNAcentral describes it as "contains 16S-23S intergenic spacer region". It matches the Rfam family "Bacterial small subunit ribosomal RNA", at positions 524 to 776 of the family's 1533-position model. The record is from RNAcentral.